UUUGCGCACAGAUUAGUAAGAGAGUCAUGGAAUACUUCGUCAGUAUAUUCUAGGCAUGGAUCCAAUCAUAAGUAAGCAAAGGACAAACUUCAAAGUGACGUGAAAUAUUUAGUGGAAGGUGUGCGAAUCUCCUGUAAAUAAUGCCUCAUAUGUAGUGAACGUGUCAUCAGGAACCGUUGAACACCAUGGAACAGACAGAGUAUAUUGUAAUGAAUAUCUAUAUACGUUAAUAACUGAAAGACAAACUUCCUGCAUAUGGAAGUGUAGGCUUUUUUUUUUUUUUUUUUGGUGUUCAGAUGUCACAUUAAUAAUUAUGACUGACAGUGAAGAGUAUGCUAGUUGUGCGUCAGUUGAGGCAUCUUCCUCACCAUUCUAUGCGAUGUACCGUGUUCUGAAGGACCUCUGCACGAACAAUGCACAGUUCUUUCAACAGGACGAGAGUGAAAGUGGACAGAGGCUGAAUGCUGGAUUCCUGGCACUAAUAGACCAGGUGGACAUGAUCAUACCAAUGGUGGAUGAUGUUAGGAAAAUAGCUCCACUGUAUGACUUUGAUGAAGGCACGCCUGGUAAUGGAUAUCGUAGCUUUGUGUCUGUGAUCGACAAGUGUGUGCAGCAUGGUGUUAAGCUAAGCAGGCUGGUGUGUGACAGCCGAGAUUCAUUCUUGUUCAGGAAGACCUUCUAUAUGAGGGAGGUGGAGGCAUGUAGCCACUUACUGGCAUCUCUAGGAACAUGCAUGGCACAUCUCCAGACACUCUUGUCUUGGAGCACAGAGAGUCAGCUAUUCCCAGAUGAACAACAUUCCACAGAAGAUUUAUUGAACCGUGUGGAGAGCAUCAACAUGUACUGCUUCUAUGGCCGCUGUCUGGGGUUCCAGUUUUGUGAAUCAAUGCAGAAAAUACUAAAGACAGUCUCCAUCUGCAUGGCAUCUUUCAGUGAGAUCUACUAUGGGAAUGGAGGCCUACUGGCUCGAGCUACCAGCUCUGUAUGGACAGGUGGAAAAUAUCUGCUGGAUCCUGAAUUGCGAGCACGAAGAAUUGUCAAUAUUUCUAAGCAUGCUUCUGUUGAUUUCUGUAAAUCUUUCUGGCACCUGGCAGAUACAGAACUGAUGGGGCGGUUGCCUGGCAUGGUUUGCCCAGCAGUUGCAGUUAACAAAGUGGUCUGUAUUCCACCUGAACCAUUGGUGCAUAUAGCACCAGAUGGAUGUGCUAUUUCUGUGCCCAUUCCAACAGCACACUUUGGACCAGCACCCAUAAUGGCUCGCUUCCUAUCUGCUGUCAGGCGAGAGGGCAUGAUUGCGGACUCGAAGGAACGGGGAUCAAAUUUGCUGCCUCCAUCCCCUGGACUCAUUAUCCACUGCCAUGGUGGUGGUUUUGUUGCGCAGAGCUCCCGCUCACAUGAGAUAUAUCUGCGAGACUGGGCAUGUCAACUGAAAGUGCCCAUGCUGUCCAUUGACUACUCACUGGCCCCACAGGCGCCUUUCCCCCGGGCAUUAGAGGAGGCAUUAUAUGCAUAUUGCUGGGCUAUCAAUAAUGCUCACAUAAUGGGCUCCACAGCAGAAAAAGUCAUCCUUGUUGGGGACUCAGCAGGAGCAAACCUCAACAUUGGAGUGACCAUGAAGUGUAUUGAGCUUGGCAUACGUGUCCCCAAUGGGUUGUUUCUGGCCUAUGUACCUGUGUUGGUGUCAUUUGUACCAUCUCCCUCAAGACUCCUUUGUCUAAUGGAUCCACUGCUGCCAUUUGGCUUCAUGAUCCGCUGCAUGAAGGCAUAUGCUUGUCCUUCUAAGGAUGACAUCACUAGCACAUCAUCAAACACAAAGACACUAUUAGAAGGCAGUGACACAGAGUCCUUUGAGGAGGUCUCGGAGAGUGAUCUGCAGGAGCUGGCAGCCCACAAGAGUGUAUUGUCAAAUGAUUCUGACACACUGACAACAGUGUCUCUGGCAUCCUUGCAAUCAAAAGCUGAGGCAGACCAUACAGUUGAAAACAAUGGAUGGGAAUAUGUUAAUGUUGCAGGUGCUCCCAACCCAGCAGAAUGCUACAUGGAGAAGUAUGUUCUAGACUCUGACACAGAUUCAGAAGGGUGUAAGAUCCAAGUGCUUCGUUCAAAACCAAAAGUAGAAGAGAAUGUCUUAUUUGAGGUGCCCACUCAACAGGACUCAGGACUGAGUUCCAGACUUGGUCGUGCUGUGGGGAACAUAGCAAAUUACAUGACUGGCACUGAGCCACAGCAGACACCAGCUGGAAAGCAAGGCCAAAGUUUGAGUCUUGGUAGUGAGUCUCUAGAGGCCCUAGACUCACUCAUGCAGCGCAGUGCUUCAGAUGACUUGCACUUCACUAUCCCCAGAGAUCCAUAUCUGUCUCCGUACUGGGCAAGUGAUGAGGUGCUAAAACAACUCCCCACUACCAAGAUAGUGUUUCAUUGCAGUCAGUUCAGUUGGACCCUUGUCUGGAUGACUGUGUGAUGUUUGCCAAGAAACUGAAGAAGCUUGGUGUAGCUGUAUCAUUGGAUGUGAUGGAAGGCCUCCCUCAUGGCUUUCUUAACUUCAGUCAGCUGAGCAAGGAGGCACGCUCUGGAUCCAACCAGUGUGUCAGGAGGAUUCAAGAACUCCUAUGCUUGUAGCAUCAUGUGGUUACAUUCUAAUUUAAAUGGUAAUUAUUGAAUCAGCAAUAAAAUGUAUAUUUCAUAGAUUGUGUACACAGAAAUUACAGAAUCUUAAGUUCUCUUGUGUCAUUCAUCCUCCAUCCCUCUACUGAGUUCCAUUUCAUCUGAUCCCAGUGAUAGUGUAUCAUUUUAAUCAGCCUUUUCAUCAGAGUAUUCUUGUUGCUAGAUGCUUUCAUGUGGACAUAUGUUAAAACUAUAGUUUUAUCAGUUCCUUUGCAUAUCCAAGUUCAUGGAACUCAGUCCUUCAGAAGCUGAUUGUCAUUCAGAUGGUCAACAAAUGCACUGCCUUUCAUGGAAUCUGAAGAUACAUUAUCAUCUUUUAUUGAUUCUCUUCAAUUAAAAUAUUUUAAUUCAACUAUAAAAGAUUAUCCUCUACAAAAAGAUUUAAAAAUUUAUAGCCAGCCACUGGAUACUAUGUGCAGCCAGUUGAUCCAGUGCAUACCCACACAUCUUAUUUAGUUCAGACCAGUUUAUGUAGUAUCCAGGUCUAUCAAGCAGCUCUAAACUUCAUUAUUAUAGAUGCUUUUCUUCAGAGUUCAAAUUGUGGUUCACAUAGCAUUAAUACAAACUGUUCAAUCUGGAACAGAUUUUAGCCAGUCAUGAAAAUCCAUUCAGAACCUUUCAUGUGUACAAUUUACACCCCUAGAAUUGCUGGUUUUCUUCAUCAUUGCCAUCAUAGGUUCUGUGGCUACCAUGUUACUGUACAUACUGCACAAAUACUGGUGUACAACAGUGAGUUUGCCUCCAACAACAUCGUCAGAGCAAGUUUCCUUAAAAUGUCAGUUGGUUAAACAAGACUAGAAAAAUGUGUACUUUUUGGAGUACACUAAGAUUCCAAAGAUAUUCUUUAUGCCACAUAGCAGGUGUUGUCAACAGGGGAAUAUAAAAUUCAACUGUGGUAUCUAAAGUAACUGUGACAUUCAGGGUCAUUGUAGUAACAGUGUGCUUAAAGACUAGACAGACAUGGACGGGCCUUUAAAGUGUUUUUCACUUAUGCUGAAGCCUAAACAAGACCUGAAAAUUAUAUGGAGAGGGGACAUGACUGUACCACCAGCCUAUCUUUAAAGUAAGGAAUGUAUUCUAAAACUGAAGGUCCCAAACAUCAAUGAGUGAAAUUACUAAAAUUUGGGUUUGUACAGAAAUAUUAUGUCAGCUCUGUUGUUAUGAAGAUGGAGUGUAAAUGAAUGAGGUAAAUUGUAUUGCAGAUUGUGGUUGUACAUGAUUUCCUGCAUAGAAUUUGGCAGUACUGUGCUGGUUAAUCUGGCAAGUGUGAUGGCUGCACAGGCAGUCAUAUAUCUCAUGUCUUUUGGAGUUUUUAAUUCAUUUAACAAGAACUGAAUUAAUAUACAGGUUCAGACACAUCUACGCUCUUAAUCCCUUGACAUGUAUCUUUUAAUAUCAAAAUAGUUGUUUUAACAAAAUUUAUCAGGAUUGGAGCUAUGUACAAGACUAAAACCAAUGUCUCACUGUCAUUUUUCUUUUGAAUACCUGUGACUAGCAGUCUUUAACAUUCUCAUAAUAGAAUUUCAUCACAGUCCAUUCACCAUGAGCACAGUUGAGUUGUUAGCAUGCUUCAGAAAUCCUGGGUUUGAAUCUCUAGCCAGAUGUUACAAUAGACCACAAAUUCACACAGCUUUUUCAGUUCAUCAUAAUGUUACGCUACAUAACCCAUGAAGUUGAAAAUCUGUGUGUAAACUACCCAGACAACUUAAACAUUUCUUGGUUAAAUUUGUAUUUUUAUUAGUAUCAAUAUUAUGCUUUUAAAAAUGAAUCAUCAAUAUAAAAGACUGGAAUACUGAAAAAUUAAACAGUUGCCAUACAAAGAGGUUUUUUAGAGUAUUCUAAUGUAUAAUAGCAUAAUGACAUUCCAUUUUAGUGAAAUGAGUUCACCUCACCCAUACUUAUGAUGUGUUAAAUUUAUUUUGGUGUUCUAGUUCCAAUCCUUGGUUUGGCAACAAAGAUAUACAUUAUUCUGACUGUUCUGGAUGAAUGUGUUAGCAGGGACUCAUGACAAUGCUAUUGAAACUUGCAACAUAACCAUAUAUUUCCAUUAAUUACAAAAUGUAUUUCAGCUAGAGAAGUCUGUUGAAGUCUAGGUAUCAGAAAUGUAAAACUGAAAAAGAGUAAGGUCCAUAUUACAAAUCAUUUGUGGACAUAAAUAAAUGAAAUAACAUGCCCAAUGUU
Zootermopsis nevadensis is the source of this 4845-nucleotide RNA transcript. It is a transcript of the gene named hormone-sensitive lipase, with no coding region annotated. The record is from RefSeq and is a predicted model, not a curated record. NCBI's taxonomy places the organism in Eukaryota, Metazoa, Arthropoda, Insecta, Blattodea, Termopsidae.